This 138-nucleotide microRNA precursor is filed under the name Leersia perrieri. Its description in RNAcentral is "pre miRNA MIR811". The record is from RNAcentral. Lineage: Eukaryota; Viridiplantae; Streptophyta; Magnoliopsida; Poales; Poaceae.
UAUUUUGCAGAAAACACCCCUGCACAUUUGUCCCAGUGAGUAAAAGUUUUACUCACACUCAAAACUAGUAGUAAAAUAAGGGUGAGUGAAAUUUUAACUCGGUGCGAUGGAUGUGCGGGGGGUAUUUUAUGCAAAAUU